Doryrhamphus excisus (bluestripe pipefish) is the source of this 2039-nucleotide RNA transcript. It is a transcript of the gene named COPI coat complex subunit zeta 2, with no coding region annotated. The record is from RefSeq and is a predicted model, not a curated record. NCBI's taxonomy places the organism in Eukaryota, Metazoa, Chordata, Actinopteri, Syngnathiformes, Syngnathidae.
AGCUCGUCGCCAGAAAUGGACAAGCGGAAGGAGUCUUUCAUUACGUCCACGUCUCAGUCUGGAUUCAGUCUCGGUCUGCAGGAACCAUCAAAGUCUCCUGUGGACCAAAUCAUCCAACUUUGUUCCUUGCCAGGGUUUGGAGGUUGAAAAGUCAAGAACUCUGACUUAUUUUACUCCUGAGCUCAACUACGUGCCUCCUGUCGUGGAAUAUCAGUCCAAAUGAAGAUAGUUCACUCUGAAAUAUAAAGCAGCCGUUCUGCUUAUAACUGAAUGGAUUUGACUGCAGUGUUUUUGUUGCAGGAAGCUUCCCUGUACACGGUCAAAGCUGUUUUCAUUCUGGACAAUGAUGGCAACAGACUUCUGUCAAAGUAUUAUGACCCAGAGUUUUACCCCUCCAUGAAAGACCAGAGGAACUUUGAGAAGAACAUUUUUAACAAGACUCACAAAGCAGACACUUUAGAUGAAAUCGCUUUCCUGGAGGGAAUGACGAUCAUCUACAAGAGCAGCAUCGACCUUUUCAUCUAUGUGGUCGGCAGCGCUCAGGAGAACGAGCUGAUGCUGAUGUCUGUACUCAACUGCCUGUUUGACUCCCUCAGCCACAUCCUCAGAAAAAAUGUGGAGCGAAGGAGUUUACUCGACAACAUGGAAGGAGCGUUUCUUGUUGUUGAUGAAAUCAUUGAUGGAGGGGUGAUUCUGGAGAGCGAUCCCCAACAGGUCAUCCAAAAGGUCAAUUACAGGCUCGUGUCAGAGCCCGCCUACGGGUUUGUCCUAUUUGAUCACAUGACUGGUAACCUGCAGGGACAAACAGACAGGAGCCAGCUGCUGUAGACAGUAGGACAGAAGAAGGGUGGAUGACAAUUCACUGUCUGAACAAAGCGUAGCCCAGCACAUAACCGACAAGCUGGCUCUCACUUCCGUUGUGUUGCAGUCGGCCAAGGAGCAGAUCAAAUGGUCCAUACUGAAAUAAACCAGCUUUCUUAGCCUUUGUGUAGCAGCCUGGGAACACCAAAGGGAAAAGAUUCAUGUUCUUUAUGUUUCUGUUUGUGGUUCACUGUUCAGCACAGUGCAGGAGGAUGAUGAUGAUGAUAAUGAUGAUAUUAACAAGUACAGUAAUCCUUCGUUUGUGGUGGUUAAUCAGUUCCAUUCCCAACCAUGAUAAGUGAAUUUAUUUAGAAAUUGAAUAUUUCGGUAGUUAGGGCAUAGAAAACCAGUUUACCACUUUCUAAAUACGCUUAUUAUUAGAGCCCUCAAGACAUGAAAUAAAAUCCACUUUACACUCCUAUUACCUAAUAUAGUAGAGCUAAAAUAAAUAAUAGAAGAUAUGAGACAUAAUGUAGACUCGCACAUAAACUUUGGAGAGUUCCUUGGUGGUGUUCCUUUUAUGUUUUUGGGGUUUUUUUGCUUAUGGUUUUGGCUGUUGUCUCAUCAGUGUGACAUUACUGACACCUAGUGACCAGUGUAGAAAGCUACAUAUCUUUGAAUGUGUGUUCUGUAUGCUUUAUAUUGGUAAUUUAUGUCAUUUAGCCAUUUUAUGCUUAAUACAUUUAGGGGGAAAAAAUCACAUCAUUUGUCUAAAUAUAUAUUUUUUGCAACUAAUAGACAGUAUUAAAGCACAAAACAGUGCUGUUUUUUUAAACCAUGAUAGCGUAAAGCGCAAAGAGUCGAGGGAUUCCUGUACUUUGUAUCUAAAUAGAUAUUUAAGAGUGUUACACAGAGAUGUGUGCUGUGUUGAGUUGUGUUUAAUGGACCUAUUUUUGAAGGGCUAUGUUAAGCGUUUAUUUAUGCAAACCAUGUCUUGUCUUGUUGUUUUGGAAAAAGUGCAGUAUGUGUUUAUUAUUAAGUUUCAUGCCGCUAAACAAAUGCUGACAAAGAAUGUUACAGUUCAAAUUUGAACUAAAAAGAAAUGUCUAUUUUAUUGAUCAUCUAUUGACCACAGUUUCAAAAUGUUAUGAGGUUAUUAUAUAAAUAUAUUUUACAUUAAAAAAAAUUAAUAGAAGACAUUUGGAGAACUAAGAAUAAAGUAUUUUCUCACCCUCAAA